CCUACGGGAGGCAGCAGUAGGGAAUCUUCCACAAUGGGCGAAAGCCUGAUGGAGCAACGCCGCGUGGGUGAAGAAGGUCUUCGGAUCGUAAAACCCUUUUGUUAGAGAAGAAAGUUCGUGAGAGUAACUGUUCACGUUUCGACGUUAUCUAACCAGAACGCCACGGCUAACUACGUGACAGCAGCCGCGGUAAUACGGAGGUGGCAAGCGUUGUCCGGAUUUAUUGGGCGUAAAGGAAACGCAGGCGGUUUUUUAAGUCAGAUGUGAAAGGCUUCGGCUUAACCGGAGUAGUGCAUUGUACACUGGGAGACGUGAGUGCAGAAGAGGAGGGUGGAACUCCAUGUGUAGCGGUGAAAUGCGUAGAUAUAUGGAAGAACACCAGUGGCGAAAGCGGCUCUCUGGUCUGUAACUGACGCUGAGGUUCGAAAGCGUGGGUAGCAAACAGGAUUAGAUACCCUAGUAGUC
Molecule: ribosomal RNA, 465 nt
Filed under: uncultured bacterium
Lineage: Bacteria
Description: partial 16S ribosomal RNA
Rfam family: Bacterial small subunit ribosomal RNA
Source: RNAcentral